GGUACUGUCCUAUAUCAUCUGUCGUCCCGUCACUGCACUGUUUUCUGAUUCACCCUGACUCUCACAACUCUGACAAUUCAGAUCCCUUCUUUCCUGGGCUUUGAUGAUCAGGAAAGACUGUACUGAAUUUAUUACCCUAUGCUACUUGUCCAGAACUAUACAAUCUUCAUUUAAAAUAUGAAAAGAACAAAGAGAACAUAUGGAAAAGCCAUAAAGAAAGUAAAGUGUCUAGAUAGCAAAAUAAGAACCCCUAUAAGCAGUAACCAAAUAUAUGUUAACUUACACAUUAAAUGUACAAGGUAUACAGAGGAUUUGAGCAUUUUAUGAAAAAUAACAAUAUUAGUCAGCAGUUCAGGGACAAUUGUCAAAACAGGGAAGAAAAUAAAUAAUUUUGAAUGUAGGCAUAUUAUUGAAAAAAUAUUGUCUUACAUAUUCCUAGUUUGAAAAAAACAAAGGUAUAUAUCUCACGUUGUGAAGUAAUUCCUUUGAUAUGAACUCAGAGAGAAUCACACCAGUACACAUUAUAAUAGAACUGACAAAAGCUGACUACUAAUCUGAGAUAGAGUGAGAAAUAUAAGUUUCUUAGAGCAGGAAGAGAAAUCUAUGAAUUUACACUCACUUCCGAGAAGGGGAAACGUCUAACACAUAGCAUGUCCUCUCUUCUUCUCAGUUUCCUUGGUCCAGAGUUAGGAUAAAGUAAGGGAAAAUGUAGUACUUACCAAGUACUA
Molecule: long non-coding RNA, 728 nt
Filed under: Mus pahari (shrew mouse)
Lineage: Eukaryota; Metazoa; Chordata; Mammalia; Rodentia; Muridae
Description: lncRNA (MGP_PahariEiJ_G0003428.1)
Source: RNAcentral